GGAAGGAAAGUGUGAGUUUCAAUUGAAAAGGAAAAAAAUAUAUUACGCGAUUUUUGUGACUCUUUAGCGGUGAUUAGAAGAUGGUUAGAAUAUGAAAUUAUUUUAAUGGCUAUUAAGUGGGAAUUAAAAAUAGGAGAUAUUUUUGUGAAAUAAGUUUUAUGAGAAGGGCUAUUUUUUGUCCUUCUCCACUUUUAUUAUUCUCAUCGUUCAAAAUAAG
Molecule: long non-coding RNA, 217 nt
Filed under: Capsicum annuum
Lineage: Eukaryota; Viridiplantae; Streptophyta; Magnoliopsida; Solanales; Solanaceae
Description: long non-coding RNA (CANN_LNC014849)
Source: RNAcentral